AGUUAAAUAGCUUAGUGAAAAGUAUGUGUUUUGAAAGCACAGGACAGAAGUUUAAAUCUUCUAUUAACUU
RNAcentral lists this transfer RNA (70 nucleotides) under Calineuria stigmatica. RNAcentral's name for it is "tRNA-Ser". It matches the Rfam family "tRNA". From Rfam's summary of the family: Transfer RNA (tRNA) molecules are approximately 80 nucleotides in length. Their secondary structure includes four short double-helical elements and three loops (D, anti-codon, and T loops). Further hydrogen bonds mediate the characteristic L-shaped molecular structure. tRNAs have two regions of fundamental functional importance: the anti-codon, which is responsible for specific mRNA codon recognition, and the 3' end, to which the tRNAs corresponding amino acid is attached (by aminoacyl-tRNA synthetases). tRNAs cope with the degeneracy of the genetic code in two manners: having more than one tRNA (with a specific anti-codon) for a particular amino acid; and 'wobble' base-pairing, i.e. permitting non-standard base-pairing at the 3rd anti-codon position. Lineage: Eukaryota; Metazoa; Arthropoda; Insecta; Plecoptera; Perlidae. The record is from RNAcentral.